Molecule: small RNA, 604 nt
Filed under: Pan troglodytes (chimpanzee)
Lineage: Eukaryota; Metazoa; Chordata; Mammalia; Primates; Hominidae
Description: processed transcript
Source: RNAcentral
GUUUAAAUGGAUGUAGGCUUAACUGAUUAUUCCUAUAAUAAAAGAAGUUUCCAGGGAAAUAUCCCAGAGCAUUCACUUGAGUCUUCCACCCAGCAUAGGUGUCCCACAACCAGCUCUGUUUUACUCCUGGGUUACUUUGGGAAAGGGUAAUAGAACUUCUAUCACUCUUAGCCUUUAACUUCUAUAUUCCCUCUCCCCACACACAAAAAUUCAUGUUCUGCUAUUUCAGUGUUAAGACAGUCUUCAAAGAACUUUCCAAACAGGUCUAAGGAGAUAGCUUAACCCUGCUUAUUCCUUGAAUACCAAUAGAGAAGAAGCUCUAGAGGACAAAAUCCCAGUCCUUGGCACAAACUCAGGAAAUGGAAGCCGGAGUCUGUUUUUUGUGGGGCUGCUAAUUGUGCUGAUUGUCAGCCUGGCACUGGUUUUUUUCGUGAUAUUUCUAAUAGUUCAAACUGGAAACAAGAUGGAUGAUGUGUCAAGAAGACUAACAGCUGAAGGAAAAGACAUAGAUGAUCUUAAGAGAAUCAAUAACAUGAUCGUAAAGCGACUCAACCAACUCAACCAACUGGACUCUGAACAAAACUAAAGGAAUGAUUUUCUGAAA